ACUCAAAUGAAUUGACGGGGGCCCGCACAAGCGGUGGAGCAUGUUGUUUAAUACGUCACUAACCGUAGAACCUCACCAAGGCUUGACAUCCGUCGACCGCCUGUGAAAGCAGGUUUUCCUCGCAAGAGGACGGCGAGACAGGUGUUGCAUGGCUGUCGUCAGCUCGUGUCGUGAGAUGUUGGGUUAAGUCCCGCAACGAGCGCAACCCUCACGCGAUGUUGCCAGCGAGUAAUGUCGGGAACUCUUCGCGAACUGCCUGGGUAACCGGGAGGAAGGUGGGGAUGACGUCAAGUCAGCAUGGCCCUUACGCCUUGGGCUACAAACAUGCUACAAUGGACGGUAAACAAAGGGAUCCGAGACCGCGAGGUGGAGGCAAUCCCAAAAAUCCGUUCUCAGUUCAGAUCGUAGGCUGCAACUCGCCUGCGUGAAGUCGGAAUCGCUAGUAACCGCAGAUCAGCUAAGCUGCGGUGAAUACGUUCCCGGGCCUUGUACACACCGCCCGU
RNAcentral lists this ribosomal RNA (503 nucleotides) under uncultured bacterium. Its description in RNAcentral is "partial 16S ribosomal RNA". It matches the Rfam family "Bacterial small subunit ribosomal RNA", at positions 899 to 1397 of the family's 1533-position model. The record is from RNAcentral.